UACGUAGGGAGCAAGCGUUGUCCGGAAUCAUUGGGCGUAAAGCGCGCGUAGGCGGCCCGGUAAGUCCGUCGUGAAAGUCAAAGGCUCAACCUUUGAAUGUCGAUGGAUACUGCCGGGCUAGAGUCCGGAAGAGGCGAGUGGAAUUCCUGGUGUAGCGGUGGAAUGCGCAGAUAUCAGGAGGAACACCAAUUAGCGAAGGCAGCUCGCUGGGACGUACUGACG
This 222-nucleotide ribosomal RNA is filed under the name uncultured bacterium. Its description in RNAcentral is "partial 16S ribosomal RNA". It matches the Rfam family "Bacterial small subunit ribosomal RNA", at positions 524 to 745 of the family's 1533-position model. The record is from RNAcentral.